AAUGGAUUAAAAAAAAGAAAUCGACAAUUCGUAGCGUUGGUCUUUUUUCCCCACAACAUACACCAACUGAACCAGCUACAUAGUAGUCUAUUGAUUAAUUAAUUACACCUGUUGGGCUUAACAGCACGCGUAACAGCAGACGACACAAAUAAAAUUAUUUAAAUGGCCCAUUCUUAUGUGUACCGUGCGAUGAAACAGAUGGAUUUUUAAAAACGCUAACCUGGAAUGUCUAUGUAAAGUGGUUUUAAAAGAUGAUAUGAAGAAUUUUAAGACACACAUCUUCUAGCUGCAAAACUUGUAGAAAAGCUGAAGAGUAUGUAUUGAGGUACCUGGACAGUCAACUCUAACUGCAGUCACUCCAAAUCAAGGACGCAAGCAGACGAGACUAAACCAAUGGCGCCUACACACGGCUAUUGGGGCAAGCAGACGUCAACGGUCGACUGGUGUGAGGAUAAUUAUGUCGUCAGUUAUUACAUCGCUGAAUUCUGGAAUACCUUAUCGAAUGCCGUCAUCAUCAUCGCUCCCCUCUUCAUGCUCAUCGUCGGCUGGAGACAAAAAAUCGAAACAAGAUUCAUCUACAGCUUCUUCGCCAUGACAG
Long non-coding RNA from Physella acuta, 598 nucleotides. RefSeq lists it as uncharacterized. The record is from RefSeq and is a predicted model, not a curated record. NCBI's taxonomy places the organism in Eukaryota, Metazoa, Mollusca, Gastropoda, Physidae.